Long non-coding RNA from Triticum aestivum (bread wheat), 895 nucleotides. RefSeq lists it as uncharacterized. The transcript is spliced from 3 exons. Lineage: Eukaryota; Viridiplantae; Streptophyta; Magnoliopsida; Poales; Poaceae. The record is from RefSeq and is a predicted model, not a curated record.
UAAUAGAAAUUAGUAGGGGUCUUUAUUUGGCAACUGCUUAGACUUAAUUCUUGUCAUUUGGUCCUCCAUUUUUUUCUUAGUUCCGUUCAUGUGCUCCUAUGCGUUACUAGUUCAUAUUUGGCUUUGCUACUUUGUGAUGAAGUAUAUUUACAAAUUUCACUUGAGCAAUGAUGCAGAUUUCAUAUCUUUGAUACUAUCUUCAAGGGGGAAGUGCACGUGGAAGUUGAACAAAGCCAAGAAAACCAAACCCAACAACAACGAUUGGGGCCGGCCCAAUUCCAACCCAACGGCCUGAUUUAGUCCAGUAAAGCCGAGCGCACCACCAUAUCAAGCCUCUUCCUCCCCGAAACCCUGGUCAGAUUUUGUAAGUCGACGGCGGGGUGAGGGUUUCUGGCCAAAGUUGGGAACGCGGGGGCAGCAGAGAGCUUCCUUCCAGAUUGGGAGGAGGCCGCGUGAGAGGGGUCGUCAUGAAGCCAUCCAGAGCUUGGAUGAGUGGUGUGAGAAGAAGGGCGCAUCUCGCUUGGCUAGGGAGCCAGCAGGGGAGGCUCCACAGGGAGCAGGCUGAUGGCGGUUCCAUCCUCCCAGAGCCCAACCUUACCCAAGGUCCAGCUCGAAACUUGGCUCUUCUUCCAGGUUUAUCUCCAGCGCCAACAAAUGUAGCUAAAUCACCAAGCAGUUUACCGGUGCUGAGAAGUCCAUCCUUGGGCACUACAUUUGUUGCACCAUUCUCGCCUACUGUGGUCGGUAGCAUACCAAGCCGCUGUAAAAGCAGUGUACUCUCUUUGCUGAAGAAUGCUGGUAUAUUAACGAAACGCUCCCGUUUUCUACAUUUUUGUAAUCAUCAAUGGUAGAAUGUUAGCCCUCCCGUUUUCUGCAUAGUACAAAGCUCAGUCUG